RNAcentral lists this ribosomal RNA (367 nucleotides) under Comamonadaceae bacterium. RNAcentral's name for it is "bacterial SSU rRNA". It matches the Rfam family "Bacterial small subunit ribosomal RNA", at positions 1 to 366 of the family's 1533-position model. Lineage: Bacteria; Pseudomonadati; Pseudomonadota; Betaproteobacteria; Burkholderiales; Comamonadaceae. The record is from RNAcentral.
UUUACGGAGAGUUUGAUCCUGGCUCAGGAUGAACGCUGGCGGCGUGCUUAACACAUGCAAGUCGAACGGUGAAAGCGGAGCUUGCUCUGCUGGAUCAGUGGCGAACGGGUGAGUAACACGUGAGCAAUCUGCCCCUGACUCUGGGAUAAGCGCUGGAAACGGCGUCUAAUACCGGAUACGAGCUGCGAAGGCAUCUUCAGCAGCUGGAAAGAACUUCGGUCAGGGAUGAGCUCGCGGCCUAUCAGCUAGUUGGUGGGGUAAUGGCCUACCAAGGCGACGACGGGUAGCCGACCUGAGAGGGUGACCGGCCACACUGGGACUGAGACACGGCCCAGACUCCUACGGGAGGCAGCAGUGGGGAAUAUUG